This 1637-nucleotide long non-coding RNA is filed under the name Triticum aestivum (bread wheat). RNAcentral describes it as "long non-coding RNA (TAES_LNC009471)". Lineage: Eukaryota; Viridiplantae; Streptophyta; Magnoliopsida; Poales; Poaceae. The record is from RNAcentral.
CCAGACCUUCAGGUGCCUGCUGGGUCAAACACGUUAGGUAAAACAAGGCAGCGAGUCAACAUUCACUUAUGCAAUGUCAACAGUAGUUCAAAUAGGAAUGUAGCGAACAGAAAAAUCAUAAUCUAGAUUACUUAGUACAAGAGUAAAAGAGUGGAGGAACAGAAACUAUGAAUCAAUAUUUAGUUAGUUAUUUGUUAUACUUAUAGUGCACAGCGACAUACGCAUGAUACGAGCAAUGCAGAAUUAAAGCCACUUAAUCACAAUUAAGUACAUAUUAUUGAAGAUGUAUGUUCACACGAUAUAUUACCAUUGCUUUCGACAUAGGAAGAGCGGCCUCCUCUUCAUCUCCUUUCCUUCCUCCCCUUUCUUUCAAAUAUGCCUCACCCUUUAUUUUCCGUUCCGCAAGAUAUGCCCUGCUUGCUCUCUCAGUCUCCAGAACUGGUGGCAUGAUUUUAGUAACUGAAGCUGGACAAGAUGACAGGGAGUGAACUGAAUGAAUUGCCAAAAACCUAGAUUGUGUAAAAUAAUGUUAAACAUGCGACACUGCUAACAAGCAGUUCAUGUCAGAUUACAUAAACAGAAAAUGAAGAUUUCAUGCGUUGUGAUGUAACAAGUGAAGCAAGCAACAUGCAGGAUGUAACCGCGGCACUGUCAAGGAGAAGCAGCCAACAAGCCUAGAAAAACAAGACCAGGAAGUUCAGAACAAAAAACAACAAAAAUAAUAACAUUACUGUAGGUGCUGGCAUAGUUCAGAAAACCAGAAAGUUUACUAUACUCUUUCAAAACUAAGCCUCGAUGGAUGGUGCUCUAUGUUUCUAAACUAGGAGCAGCUUAUUCAAGGAGUGGACACUCCACUUACAACUAGACCUUUAUGUAGCAAGUUAACAAUCAGCUUGAUUUUACCAGUUUAGUAUGUCAGGAUACAGUCACAAACUGAAGUUUAAGAUUAUGCAUCUAAAGGAAAAUUGAAUGUUGGUCAAAGCUUAUUUUUCGAAACUUGCAAUGCAUCUCCCAAUUUCCAUGAAUUUAACUACCAUUGAAUCAUUUUUUCACCAAGAGACCAUGAUUCCUCAAGGAAAAAAUAAAGGAAAAGUCGUACUAGCUUGAAGUGUCGACAUAUGAGGAACAGAACAAUCCAAAAGGAACAAAUAAAUUUACAGUAACCAUAGGCAGCCAUGCAAAUAUUGUCUACAGAAAGGUAUGUCACUAGUGACUAAUUCCUGCGUCUCUGCACUGGAAAUCAUGCAAGUGUAAUCGAUGAUAAUGGAUCAUAAGACCCAAUGAAAUGUACAUCAACCAUCCUAACAUGCCAUGGUGUCUGGCAAAAAUUCAAAUCUUCACAGUACCUGUGCCUACUCAAAUAUACAAACACCAAAAUUCUAAUCUGGGAAAGCCCAUGAACAUCAUCUUCACACUAACAUAUAAUUUUCUAUAUGCAAGAGUAUCCAUACAAGCACAUACCAAACAAACAGCAUCUGUAAUACGGCAUCCGAACUGCCAUCAUGAUUACAUAUAUUUAAUUUAUAUAUACAAUGUAAAUAGUUAAUAAAGUUGUGAAAGAUAUGAGAACCAUCAAAAAUCUUACUCUGAUAUUCUCACCAUCGGUUUUCAUUCUGUAAGUGUGAAGCGGGAUAUAG